AGCUGCCCUCUCCUCCCUUCUCCUUCAGGGGAAAGCUCCCAGGGGUCCAGAGCAGAGGUACUGGGCUGCAAAUCCAAGAGAGGUUUCUCCUAGGAUUUACCUCGAGGGGCUGUUGGAGGAAUGAAUGGGAACACACCUGAAAAUGCUUACGUUGCUACCUGGUAUGCAGCGAGUGCUUAGGUAUUCUUUUUCUCAGUAUACAAGCCACAGGUGGCAAAGUGGCUUUAGCCUGCAGGACAGAACCUGCUAGAGUGUACGUGGGCUUCCAGAAAUGAGAGUCUUCAGUUCUUUCCUCUCUAAACUGCCCCCUGGAAGGUUUGUGGUUCAGGAAGCAUAGGGGGGUUGCUGACCAUCCAAGGCCUCGUGACUGUGACCCAAGUUAAUGACAAUCCUUGGCCUUAGGAAAUGGCCAUGGUGCUUGGGGGGCGGGGGAGCCACCAUCCUAAAAUCUCCAGGACGUAUUGCAUGGGUGGCAUGAGGCUUUGGAGAGCGUCUGAGCUCCAGGAACCUUGAGAGAAAGGGAGAUAAAAGGUGCCGAGUGUCUCCGUGGAGCCAGGCACCAGGUGGCUCUUUGGCUCUGCUCCGAAUUUAUGGGACCCGUCUGCUUGAAGCUCUGCCAGGUGAGUGGCCUGGGAGACAGUCAGCUGGGGCCCUUGACUCUCUGGCUUCAGCUCUUGCCAUGUCCUCACUGUGGGCAGUGUCCUCUGACUUAGAGCCAGGAGGACACCAGUGUAUGGCUACAGCCCAAGGGAAGCUCCUGGUUCUGAAUGGCCCCAAACUCAGACCCUGAGCCCAUGGACGCCAGCCUCUGAGCAGCCACUCUGUUUCCUUGUAGCUUUUCUCUGGUAGAUUCUCUUUAGUGCCAUACGAAUCCUGCCUGAGAGAUGGAGUUUGUGCUUCCAGACAGAGCUUUCCUGGAGAGACUUUGGUUAACCUGAGUCCUCGUCGGCUGUGGGCAUAAAAUAUUAAUACCUCCCUGAGCGUGUGAGUUCCAGAGCCUUCCAGGCGCGGGGUCUGGUUUCACAUCCGGAGGCGAGACGGCAGCUGCAGGUAGGGUCUGUGGCCCUGGGCCCCAGCGCCUUAGCGCCCGGGGAGGAGCAGCCCCAGUCCAGCAGCCCCACUCCACGGCCACAUUCUGGGGAGCUGAGGUCAAGGAGCACGGCCACCGCGAGAGGUAUGUACCCUAGUGGACAGAGUGUGAUAAGGAGUCUUACUUCUGGAAUCUGAACUGAACUCCUCGGGCUGUUUCUGUGACUCUCAGUGGAACAGACUCGUUGCUUCCUUUAUAAUGACUAAAUCUAGAAACAUCCAUAGAGACGUGAUAGCAGAUGCAAUGUUCUCACCCACAGCCUUUUCCCCUAUAUGAUGGCUUCUUAACGCGGCAUCUGUGAGCCUCCCUCCAGAAGCUGAAUGCAAAAUCUUUGCAUAGGUUUUUGUUUUCUCCUGGAGAGAGGAUUCUUAAUUUUUCACUAGACUCUCAAAGAAGUUGGUGGUCCCGACCUCAAAAUUAAAAAUGGCAGUGCUGGAGUUCCCGUCGUGGUGCAGUGGUUAAUGAAUCUGACUAGGAUCCAUGAGGUUGCGGGUUCAAUCCCUGGCCUUGCUCAGUGGGUUGAGGAUCUGGCGUUGCCGUGAGCUGUGGUGUAGGUUGCAGAAGAGGCUUGGAUCCUGCGUUGCUAUGGCUCUGGCAUAGCUACAGCUCCGAUUGGACCCCUGGCCUGGGAAUCUCCAUGUGCCGCGGGUGUGGUCCUAUAAAGCAAAAAAAAAAAAAAAAAAAAAAGCAGUCUGUGUGCUGUGCUGAUGUUUGGGAGGGAACCGGCCUUUCUUAGCGUGAGCUGGGAUUUGGGGACGACCUUUCAGAAGGAUCCACCAGCCACUGGUCACCGUGAUUGUCUCAGAGGCAGUGAGUGUGAGGACAGACGGCAGGCGUGAGGGGGAGGCUCACUUUCAGCAGCGUUUCUCCUGUUUGAACUCGGCUGGGGUAAAGCCAGCCCCUCAGGAAAACAGUCCCGCAGGGCAGCACGCUGCCAACCUGACUAUCAGAAGAACCUGAGCAGCGAGGCAUGUGAACGGCGGAACCGAGACUGAACAAGGGGCAGCUAAUUUGGGUGGGCAGCUGCUGCUCCUCUAAAAUAAGAAGGUGGCCAAGGUCAAAGACUGCCUCACAGCUGGCCCGGAGGCGGCUGUGGGAGUUUGGCGAGGGGCACCCUCCUCGCGGGGUGUUUGACAGCCUGGUACCCUCGUGGUAAUCUUGGUAUCUAGGGCCUUCAUGGAUGGAGCCCAAAGCACAUGUGCAAACCCCAUGUACCCCCUCGGAGCCCUGCCAGCCUAUGGGUUAGAGCUUAGGCCCUCAUGUCUGGUGGGAGGGACUCUUGAGGACGGAGGUGACUCUGCCCCGCUUCCCCAGAGGGAGGUCCCCCAGGAGGUCACUGUGGCCGAGCAGCCUGGGUCGCCCACAGGUCGCCCCUGGCAGCUGCCAACCUACCAGGCAGGCCCAGCCGGGUGAGCUGUGCUGCAGGCCACAUUCCUCAGCCAUGAUGUGCUUUGCCAGGGCCAGAGGCCUGGUGUCCAUCCAGCCUUCACAAGCUGGGUUCCGGUCACAGGGAUAGCUGAAGAGGCUUCAGAUGCGUGUUAACUAUUUGCCUGAGGCCAAGUGAGCAACUGGUCAGGAGGUGUCCGUGGAGUGGGGCUGCCCCCUCCUAUCUGCUUCAUCCCGUUCUUGGGGCCUCAAGGCGGCGAAGAGCUGCCGGGCUGCUUUGACAUCUUGUUCUCUGAAGCAAACACCUAACCUUGCCAGUAAGUCGCCGGCCCUUGUUGGAUGGAUAGGCAUCCAGCUUGCACUCUGCCCACUCACAGCAAACCUGCCCCCACUGCAGAUGCGGCCCUGGGGCCACACAGAGGCUCAUCGCCUGUCCACAGCCUUCCUCCACAAGGUUCUCUGGGAAGUAGUGCACCCCACCACCCCGGUUCACACAGGACGGAGGGAUUUCCCAGGAUGCACGACGUUCGGUCUUAAAACCAGGACAGUCCUGGGCAAACCUGGAUGGCUGGUCACCCUCGCUGGAAGCCUGCCACCAGAACGACAUGCCAGGACGUCCUUCAAGGGCAGGGAUGAUGCAUUUCUCUCUUUCGUUUUUUUUCUUUCUUCUUUCCUUCCGUUAUUACAGACUUUACAGAAAAGUUGCAAGAAUAAAACAAAGAAUUCCCAGAUACCCACCACCUCGAUGCCCCAAGUUUAAAAUUUCCUUUUCGCUUUAUCCUUUUCUCUCUCUCUGAAGCAGCAGACAUGAUGCCUUUUUACUCCUAAAUACUUGAGUGUAUAUUUCCUAAAAACAAGACGGUAUAACCUCUGUACAAUGACCACAAUCAGCAACUUGAUGCGGAAACAACGCUGCUGUUGAAUCUUUGGUCUGCGUUGGCAUUUCAUCACCUGUCCCCAUAAUGCCCUUUAUGGGGCAAGAAAAUGCAAGCCGAGGUGUGGCCGUGCAUUGUCGUGUCUCUUUAAGCCUGUUCCACCUGCAGUCAUUUCUGGGUUUUUUCUUCGUCUUUCAUGAUGUUGACAUUUUGGAAGAGGACAGGCAAGCCAGGUACUUUGUAGAUGGCUGGACCAGCAGUGCCCGACUCCUACCUGGCCCCUGACACGUGCCACCACUUAUUAGGUAUUGAAUACCCCAGUGCACCAGGCUUUGGGCGUACAUUGUCUGGUUCAUCUCUUCAACCACCCUUUGAAGGACAGGUGUUAUGGUUAUGCUCGUUUUGUACACGAGGAAAACAGGCUCAGAGGUAAGGGGCUUGUCUGAGGUGUUUGAGCCCAGUUUUAACCCCAGAGCCCAAGCUCCUAAUUCCUGGGCCAUUGUGUUCUGGGGCGUUUUCUUGGUGUUGUAUUUGCAGGUGUUGUUUCUUUUCAUUUCUGGAACUCUGAGGUCCAUCAGUUGUGGUCUGUGUACCCAGCCAUCCCUACCCAGAACUGCCCCUUCUACACCUAACAAGAUAAGACGGCUAAGCCUUGGACUUUCCCCAGGCCGCAAGAAACUCAGGGGCAAUUAGCCUUCAGAGCCUUGAGACGGCUUUCAAAUGGGUGCAGAGGGUUAUGGGGUGAAAGUUCACCUUCGAGUCUUUCUGAUCUGAGUUCCUGUUACGGGUUGGAGAAGGACAUGAACGGAGGAACCCUCUCUGGUCUGGUCUCUCUGGCUGUGACUGGAGCUGAAGCAGCAGAGUCACCUGGCUCCCCCUGCUGCCUCUCCCCUGCCUCUGCCUGGAACUGCAUCCUGAGGUAGAGCUCUCAUAGGGUCUGAUCACCCUCCUCCAGGAAGUCCUCCAGGCAACCCCUACUUCCUUUACUCUGACCCCAUCCCUGCCUCUGCCCCCUCAGAACAGCCCUCCUCACUCCCUUCGCAUAGCAGACACUCCAUACCUGUGAAUGAAUGAAUGAAUGAAUGAAUGUAGGCUGUCUUAGGGUCUGCCUUUUGCUUGUCCCCUGACAGAUCACCUAUAAGCUCUUACCAGCCCCUCCAGGGUCUCAUAUGCCAGCAGGUUGGCCAUGAGUUCUGUCUGUACUGCUCUUGAGAAAACAACCCCCUCUCUGUGCAUUUCUGCCCUUGUUUGUGCCCGGCUGGCCCCUCGUGGCUCACACACUUCUCUCCUCUCCCUGGAUGUCCCCAGCAGCUUCCAGUCGGGCCUUGCUCUUGGGCUGUGCUUCUCAUCCCAUCAUAACUGCUGGCCCAGUCUGUGCCCAGGCUUUGGGUGACCCAUCUAUGACUCCACAUUUCUAGUGAACUUACCCAUCUAUUCAUUCAACAAAUAUCCACUGGACACUUACUGUGGGUGAGGCACUGUGCUGGGUGCUGACAUCAGCAGGGAAUAAGAUAAAGCCCUUGGCUUCCUGAGAAAAAGGCAAUUAAGCAACAAAGAAUAAACCACAAUUGCAGGAUGCAGCACAUGCUAAGGAAAAAGAAAACAGGAAUUACAUCAAGAAUAACCGGGGUCUGCUGACUCUGAACUGGUGGCCAGGGACAGCCACUCUGAGGAGGGGACAGCUGAGCUAAGAGUCUAAGGAUGAAGAGCCAGCAUCCGUGGAGUUCAGAGAGCAGCAUUCUAGGCAGAGGGAACAGCAAGUGCAAAGGCCCAGUGGCAUGUUUGGAGAAAAAGAAGGAAGCCUGUGUGGGUGGAGCACAGCUGAGCUGAGGAGGUCAUUGGGGCCAGGCCUGCAGGGCCUUAUUGGCCACGUAAGGAGUUUGGAUUCUGUUGUCAGCUUCACAGAAAGCCACUGGUGUCUUUAAAGUCAGAAGGCGAUGAUGGAGUUCCCAUUGUGGCUCAGCGGAUGGUGAACCUGACCCGUAUCCAUGAGGAUGCAGAUUCAAUCCCUGGCCCCGCUCAGUGGUUUAAGGACUUGGCAUUGCCACCAGCUGUGGCGAAGUUUGCCCAUGUGGCUUGGAUCUGGUGUUGCCAUGGCGGUGGUGUAGGCUGGCAGCUGCAGCUCUGAUUCUACCCCUGGCCUGGGAACUUCCAUAUGCUGCAGAUGUGAC
This 5522-nucleotide long non-coding RNA is filed under the name Sus scrofa (pig). Its description in RNAcentral is "lncRNA (ENSSSCG00000053714.1)". Lineage: Eukaryota; Metazoa; Chordata; Mammalia; Artiodactyla; Suidae. The record is from RNAcentral.